Pseudonaja textilis is the source of this 319-nucleotide non-coding RNA. NCBI's taxonomy places the organism in Eukaryota, Metazoa, Chordata, Lepidosauria, Squamata, Elapidae. The record is from RefSeq and is a predicted model, not a curated record.
GAAAUGCAGAGUGGUUUCUGUUAAAGGAAACAGUUAAAAGAGGAAGCAAAAGUCUUGGGUGGAAUAUGGGGCCCCAAAACGGAAUGUUUGUUAAGGAUCCUGAAAAAGAAAUUCCUUCUAGUCCCCCUCUUCCCCUCUGGGGAAUUUAUGUCAGUAGAAGGAAGUGACAAUGCUUAGAGACAGGUAGUAAAACUCCUGUGAUUAAUGAAAAUUAAGAACACUGGGUGUGACUUUGAGUAAAUGUGAGACAUUCGCGAAAACAAUUAGGAAAAGAAACUACAGUGAUAUCUCGAAAUAAAUCUUGAGGAUUUAUCAUUCC